This 69-nucleotide transfer RNA is filed under the name Candidatus Latescibacterota bacterium. RNAcentral's name for it is "tRNA-OTHER". It matches the Rfam family "tRNA". Rfam says of the family: Transfer RNA (tRNA) molecules are approximately 80 nucleotides in length. Their secondary structure includes four short double-helical elements and three loops (D, anti-codon, and T loops). Lineage: Bacteria; Pseudomonadati; Candidatus Latescibacterota. The record is from RNAcentral.
UGCCCCGUCCACGAGGGUGGCAGCCGUUUCUAACUCGGUGAAUCAUGGGUUCGACUCCCAUCGGGGCAU